AUCCAUUCAUUAGUUGGUGGGCAUCUAGGCUAUUUCUAAUUUCUGACUAUUAUGAAUAGAACUGCAAUGAACACAGAUGACGAAAUAUCUCCUCAGUAGGCUGUAGAG
RNAcentral lists this microRNA precursor (108 nucleotides) under Mesocricetus auratus (golden hamster). RNAcentral's name for it is "miRNA (ENSMAUG00000003916.1)". Lineage: Eukaryota; Metazoa; Chordata; Mammalia; Rodentia; Cricetidae. The record is from RNAcentral.